UGUUAAAAAUUUCACUAAUUGUAUUGUUAAAAACUAGUAUGACUUGCAAAAUAAUGAUAUAGUGACAUGUGGCAUAUCAUGUGUAUCUCAUGCUGAUUUAUAGGAACUAAUUUUUAACACUAGAAAUUGAUGGAAUUUUUAACA
Gossypium raimondii (Peruvian cotton) is the source of this 144-nucleotide non-coding RNA. NCBI's taxonomy places the organism in Eukaryota, Viridiplantae, Streptophyta, Magnoliopsida, Malvales, Malvaceae. The record is from Rfam.